Molecule: ribosomal RNA, 454 nt
Filed under: uncultured bacterium
Lineage: Bacteria
Description: bacterial SSU rRNA
Rfam family: Bacterial small subunit ribosomal RNA
Source: RNAcentral
AACGAACGCUGGCGGCAGGCUUAACACAUGCAAGUCGAACGGGCGUAGCAAUACGUCAGUGGCAGACGGGGUGAGUAACACGUGGGAACCUUCCUAGGGGGUACGGAACAACUCAGGGAAACUUGAGCUAAUACCGUAUACGUCCGUGAGGAGAAAGAUUUAUCGCCCUUAGACGGGCCCGCGUCGGAUUAGCUAGUUGGUGGGGUAACGGCCUACCAAGGCGACGAUCCGUAGCUGAUCUGAGAGGAUGAUCAGCCACACUGGGACUGAGACACGGCCCAGACUCCUAACGGGAGGCAGCAGUGGGGAAUCUUGGACAAUGGGCGCAAGCCUGAUCCAGCCAUGCCGCGUGAGUGAAGAAGGCCUUCGGGUUGUUAAAGCUCUUUGUUCAGGGACGAUAAUGACGGUACCUGAAGAAUAAGCCCGGCAAACUUCGUGCCAGCAGCCGCGGUAA